AACGAACGCUGGCGGCGUGCUUAACACAUGCAAGUCGAACGGCAAGGCCCUGCUUUUGUGGGGUGCUCGAGGGGCGAACGGGUGAGUGACACGUGAGUAACCUGCCCUAGACUUUGGGAUAACUUAAGGAAACUGGGGCUAAUACAGGAUAGGAUAUCCCGCUGCAUGGUGGGGGUUGGAAAGUGUCGGCGGUUGGGGAUGGACUAGCGGUUGAUGAGCUUGGUGGUGGGGUAGUGGAAGACCAAGGAGGUGGCGGGUAGCCGGCCUGGGAGGGUGACCGGGCACAGGGGGGCUGGGGGACGGCCCGGACGGCUUCGGGGGGCAGGGGUGGGGGCUAGUGCACGGUGGGCGGAGGGCGGGUGGAGCGACGCCGCGUGCGGGAGGACGGCCGUCGGGUGGUAAACCGCGUUCGCCUGUGACGAAGCGUGAGUGCCGGUACUGGGGAAAGAGGCACCGGCUAACUACGU
Molecule: ribosomal RNA, 467 nt
Filed under: uncultured bacterium
Lineage: Bacteria
Description: partial 16S ribosomal RNA
Rfam family: Bacterial small subunit ribosomal RNA
Source: RNAcentral